This 253-nucleotide ribosomal RNA is filed under the name uncultured bacterium. Its description in RNAcentral is "partial 16S ribosomal RNA". It matches the Rfam family "Bacterial small subunit ribosomal RNA", at positions 524 to 776 of the family's 1533-position model. The record is from RNAcentral.
UACGAAGGGUGCAAACGUUGCUCGGAAUCAUUGGGCGUAAAGCGCACGUAGGCGGCCUUGUAAGUCGGAUGUGAAAUCCCUCGGCUCAACCAAGGAAGUGCAUCCGAAACUGCUGAGCUUGAGUACUUAAGAGGAUCGCGGAAUUCCCGGUGUAGAGGUGAAAUUCGUAGAUAUCGGGAGGAACACCAGUGGCGAAGGCGGCGAUCUGGGAAGAUACUGACGCUGAGGUGCGAAAGCGUGGGGAGCAAACAGG